Long non-coding RNA from Acinonyx jubatus (cheetah), 589 nucleotides. RefSeq lists it as uncharacterized. The record is from RefSeq and is a predicted model, not a curated record. Lineage: Eukaryota; Metazoa; Chordata; Mammalia; Carnivora; Felidae. The transcript is spliced from 4 exons.
GUGGAAUGCUGGAGCCAGCUUGCACAGGCUAACAAGAAUGAAGUAUGAACUUGUCUUCCCAACUGUUCAUUCAGUGACAUCACAUGAUAGAUUGAAAUCAGCUGUCAUGGGACUUUGUUCACCAAGGUAAUCAUCAACCGCUAUAAACCAAGGCCUUUUAUCUCCCUGGAAAGCUAAUGAUUGGACAUUUACCAGCAGACCACUGGAGGUAUGCUGGAAUAUCUCUGCUGGACCCCUGGACUUCACAAAGCUACCUGUAUGGAAUGACUGAGAGACCCCAGCAGAGCUGGUCUCAAGCCAACGGGGACACAAGCAAAACCCCACAUCCCUGUAAAGUCUCUGUGCCCCGGCAUCUCCCCUGAGAUCCACAUUCUCCAUCACUGGGCUGCCAAGUAAAUGAAACAGACACUUGGUCUUUCUGGAGAAAUAUGAUCAAUACAAUGAAUACCUACCUUCCAGAAGCUCAAUUUGCUGAUGAACCAGUAUCUGAUCUAUCUAUUAUAGUAAAAAAAAAAAAAAAAAGCUGUAAGUAUAUUUCCAUGUUUUCUAUGCCAACUAAAUUAACAAUAGUGUUUUUAUAUUUUAAGAA